UAUGACCAAGUCAAAUAUUACCAUCUGGACCUAACGGAACCAUCGAAACUCUAUUCUGGGGUCAAAUUUACAAAAAGUCAACUUGAUCAACUCAUUUAACUUAAAGCUUCAAAAAUAAAAUUCAUUCUUCCAAAUCGAUUUCCAAGUAACCAGAAAACCAAACCCAACGAUUUCCAUUAGUCAUAAUAUAUCAUACGGAGCUACUCAUGUUGAUAGACUACCGAGCAAUGUGUAAAUACUUAAAACGACGAUUGGAUCGUUAGACGUGCUCGGAGGAAAAUGUUUUUGUACGAACUUCUAUGAGUCUAAGCCCUUCAAUAUCAAUGAUGGUCAUGGGUUUUGAUCAUCCUUGGAAUUGUAGGUUUCCACCUUCUUAUCAUUUGCCUCAAUUUUCUUCUCCUCGACUUUAUCCAUUUAGUUAAUUCUUCGAGCAUCUUUAUGAUUACCAUAUUGGUCCUCGACUCUUUCUCGUUCGAUCUCUCUGAGACUGGUUCAUCCUUGUGUACAUCUUCCCUCAGUGCGCAACCCUCGUCUAAAGUUAGGCUAUCGCAUCCUGUUGAGCCUAUUACAUUUUGAAGGUAACACUUAAGUUUAUUCCACCAUCUUCGACAUGGUGUAUGCUUUAUGCAGCCUAUCAAACAUCUUUACGGACACUGUGCUCAAGAUUGGUGGGGAAAUUUGCGUCGACAGCCACAUGUGAGCUAAUGUCGAUCAGGUAUGCGGGCGGGAUUCUGCUGAAGUUGACUAAGGGCACUUCGUUUUCGGGUGCCACAUUGUCGCUUUUGCCAUGGUGGCCGGAUUCAUUGUCAACAUGUAGGACUUCUAAUUGAGAGCACGACACUUUUAGUUUUAACCUGAAAUCAGAAACAUUUUAAAGAGUAAGUGUAAAAUAAUGUGCGUUAUGAAAUAUUUUAUCAAUUAACUACGAUUAUCCUUAUCUCCACGGUGGACGCCAAAUUUUAUUACCCUCAAAAUCGGAUAAUAAUUAAAUUUAUAUGUAGUUUUAAGAAUACAUAGAUUAAAUUGAUACAAGAAAAUAAUAUAAAUUGUAAUUGCGAUAAAGUAUGAUAAAGUAAAUUCAAACCACAAGAAUAUGACAGUGACAACCUUAGGAGGAGGGCCAAGCUUGACCAGGAUACAGUUCGAUAAGUAUUAUGACACAGUUGAAUAUGAACUUAAAGAGACAUAUUAUUAUAUUGCUUUGAAUGAUUGUUACAACAUGUUUUACAAAUAAUCAUACCCCUUUAUAUAGUAGGGGAGUUCUACUUUAGGUACAAUUCUAUAAAGGAUAAGAAUCUCAUGAUUUGCUGAUUAGCCGGUUACUUAUUGAUACGUGUCAUGAUUUCCGUCGUGAUGCCUGACCGGUUACGGAUAAUUCAAACUUGUGUUGUUUGGUUUGGCAAUGUUUUUCGAGCUCAUUCGAGGUCAGGCUCAAUUCCAGGGGUCAUGAACUCGAUGUUAUCGAGAAUGGGCAUUCUGACCUCGUAUCCUGGUUCUAUGGAAACUAGGGUCAUCUUUAACCCAUCGCGUUUCAAUUUCGAUCUAUCAUGCAAUAGACGAGCCGGAUUUUGAUCAUAUACAGUUAGUUCUACAAAUUAUGACUGAUUCACCAUCUAAAAUGCUUUUUUUCCAGCAGAAUGAACUCUUUGGCAUCCUACACUAAUCCAUUGGCUAAUAUUUAUUGGAUUAUUUGCACCAUCUGGCUUUUCUUAAGGCCACUAUUUAAAUCAAAUGAUUAUUUUUUUGUAAAAAUAAUCAUUGAACUACAUUAAUAGCUAAAGUUUAUCCCACUGCGCUAAUGACUACCUUAAAAAAUGAGUAAAAUUCACUUUACCUCUUAAUCUUUUCAGUGUUGGAAAAAAAUACCCCCUCACGUUUUGAAUGGGUAAGAGAAUCCCCUUGUGCAAUAGUUUUCCGCUGAAACAAUUCUUUUAAUAAAAAUCUUUUCAUUUUUUUAAUAGAUAAUAUUAAGAAUAAUCAUGUUCUUUUAUUAUAGCCAAAAGCUCAAGAAUAUGCCACACAAUUAGGAUUUAUAUAAUUAUGGAUUUCCCAUUAGCCUUCUUCUUGCAUAGUUUAAGAUAUGAUAUAAUGCGAAAAUGCCUCCGUAAUAAAUUUUUAAAUGUGACAUUAUCAACUAUAAUUUCUAUUCAAUAGAGAUAUUUUAAAAAUAAGUAAAGUUUCAUAAUUGCUUUAGUAUAAUAAUUUUAAUAUACAAAAAAAUAUAUAAAUAAAUUAUACUCGUAGCAGCAGUUCUUUCAUCUAAUAUAUAUGUUAGAGAAUUGACUACUUCAGGUACUUUUUCCCUUCAAAUUCAAAUUUUAAAGCAUCCAUGGUGAAUGUGCGUUCAUCAUAUUUCUUGAAUUUUGCAUGCAAGAUCUUUUUCUUUAUUCCAAAAAUUUUAACGAUGGCCUCAAUAUAACCUCAAUAUAAUAGAACAAUAUUUUAAACAUUACAAGCAAAAAAAACGGAAUUCAAGUAUUGAUUUGGAUAAAAAAUUAUUAUACUUCACCUUUGAAAGGAUAGAAACAACAACAACAACAACUACUACACAGUAUAGUCCCACAAAGUGGGGUAUGAGAAGGGUAAUAUGUAGACGAGACUUACCCCUACCCGAAAGGACAGAGAGGCUGUUUCCAAUCGACCCCCGGCUCAGUGAAGGAAAGGAAAGACAAAAACAAGAGAGCAUUAGAGUAAUUCUAGCAGAAAUAGCGUAAAUAAUUAUCUAAACAUAAGAAACAUAAAUAAAAUAGCAUGCAAUAAUGUAAUACAGUAACUACCAUAAAUAACUACCAUAAGGGAGACAAAAACCAAAACACAAAUCAUCUAUGGAUAGCCCUGCCAAGCCUCACCCAACCCCGGGUGAGGAG
RNAcentral lists this long non-coding RNA (2867 nucleotides) under Nicotiana benthamiana. Its description in RNAcentral is "long non-coding RNA (NBEN_LNC023716)". Lineage: Eukaryota; Viridiplantae; Streptophyta; Magnoliopsida; Solanales; Solanaceae. The record is from RNAcentral.